This 1527-nucleotide ribosomal RNA is filed under the name Escherichia coli 6-537-08_S3_C3. RNAcentral describes it as "bacterial SSU rRNA". It matches the Rfam family "Bacterial small subunit ribosomal RNA". Lineage: Bacteria; Pseudomonadati; Pseudomonadota; Gammaproteobacteria; Enterobacterales; Enterobacteriaceae. The record is from RNAcentral.
GUUUGAUCAUGGCUCAGAUUGAACGCUGGCGGCAGGCCUAACACAUGCAAGUCGAACGGUAACAGGAAGAAGCUUGCUUCUUUGCUGACGAGUGGCGGACGGGUGAGUAAUGUCUGGGAAACUGCCUGAUGGAGGGGGAUAACUACUGGAAACGGUAGCUAAUACCGCAUAACGUCGCAAGACCAAAGAGGGGGACCUUCGGGCCUCUUGCCAUCGGAUGUGCCCAGAUGGGAUUAGCUUGUUGGUGGGGUAACGGCUCACCAAGGCGACGAUCCCUAGCUGGUCUGAGAGGAUGACCAGCCACACUGGAACUGAGACACGGUCCAGACUCCUACGGGAGGCAGCAGUGGGGAAUAUUGCACAAUGGGCGCAAGCCUGAUGCAGCCAUGCCGCGUGUAUGAAGAAGGCCUUCGGGUUGUAAAGUACUUUCAGCGGGGAGGAAGGGAGUAAAGUUAAUACCUUUGCUCAUUGACGUUACCCGCAGAAGAAGCACCGGCUAACUCCGUGCCAGCAGCCGCGGUAAUACGGAGGGUGCAAGCGUUAAUCGGAAUUACUGGGCGUAAAGCGCACGCAGGCGGUUUGUUAAGUCAGAUGUGAAAUCCCCGGGCUCAACCUGGGAACUGCAUCUGAUACUGGCAAGCUUGAGUCUCGUAGAGGGGGGUAGAAUUCCAGGUGUAGCGGUGAAAUGCGUAGAGAUCUGGAGGAAUACCGGUGGCGAAGGCGGCCCCCUGGACGAAGACUGACGCUCAGGUGCGAAAGCGUGGGGAGCAAACAGGAUUAGAUACCCUGGUAGUCCACGCCGUAAACGAUGUCGACUUGGAGGUUGUGCCCUUGAGGCGUGGCUUCCGGAGCUAACGCGUUAAGUCGACCGCCUGGGGAGUACGGCCGCAAGGUUAAAACUCAAAUGAAUUGACGGGGGCCCGCACAAGCGGUGGAGCAUGUGGUUUAAUUCGAUGCAACGCGAAGAACCUUACCUGGUCUUGACAUCCACAGAACUUUCCAGAGAUGGAUUGGUGCCUUCGGGAACUGUGAGACAGGUGCUGCAUGGCUGUCGUCAGCUCGUGUUGUGAAAUGUUGGGUUAAGUCCCGCAACGAGCGCAACCCUUAUCCUUUGUUGCCAGCGGUCCGGCCGGGAACUCAAAGGAGACUGCCAGUGAUAAACUGGAGGAAGGUGGGGAUGACGUCAAGUCAUCAUGGCCCUUACGACCAGGGCUACACACGUGCUACAAUGGCGCAUACAAAGAGAAGCGACCUCGCGAGAGCAAGCGGACCUCAUAAAGUGCGUCGUAGUCCGGAUUGGAGUCUGCAACUCGACUCCAUGAAGUCGGAAUCGCUAGUAAUCGUGGAUCAGAAUGCCACGGUGAAUACGUUCCCGGGCCUUGUACACACCGCCCGUCACACCAUGGGAGUGGGUUGCAAAAGAAGUAGGUAGCUUAACCUUCGGGAGGGCGCUUACCACUUUGUGAUUCAUGACUGGGGUGAAGUCGUAACAAGGUAACCGUAGGGGAACCUGCGGUUGGAUCACCU